Condylostylus longicornis is the source of this 1648-nucleotide long non-coding RNA. RefSeq lists it as uncharacterized. Lineage: Eukaryota; Metazoa; Arthropoda; Insecta; Diptera; Dolichopodidae. The record is from RefSeq and is a predicted model, not a curated record. The transcript has 3 exons.
GUAAUGCAAAGUUGGUUAGCUUUAAUUGUACAGAUGGCGUCAAAAUUACACCAAAGUUAUUGGAAUAUAGAAAAGAUUCCCGUUAAAUUAUACUACACGGAUUAUUUUGGAAUACGAUCGGAGAAGUUUAAACCAAAAAAAAAACACGUUGAGUUGGGGAGUAGAAACACCAACAGCAGACAUGCUUAUGGUACAAGUCCACUAAAAUCCGGAUACAAUCCAGGCGCGUCGGAAUGUUUAAGACGUUUAGAGAAGUCGCCAGUGGAAAAAAAGAUCACUUAGCGAAAUUUAUGAACUCGUUUGGCAAGAGCUGAUGGGUUGCAUGGUCUACUCCUAUGGGGGAAGCUAGAAACAAAAUCAUAGAGCGUUAUAUAGAAAGAAGGUCUGAAGAAAACAACAAAAGCAAAACCUCUGAAGGUAAUAUAAGGGUCACGUUACAUCAGACACCAAUGGUCGAUUUGCGUACAAGCGACUUGGAGAACCUGUGUAAGGAGCUGAAAGAAGAGAUCUGCGAACUUAAGACAGAAAAUUUAAGAUUAUUGGGACAGCACAACGCAGUUUCAAGUGGCACUAAGAAAGACAAAAUUGGUGUGAUCGUGUAUGAAACAGAUGAGGAAGAGUUGGUUAGAGAAACGAUUGCAUUGUUAAAACCAAAAGAAACUCAAAUGGAACCGGCACUAGCACUUAAUAGCACCAGGGUGGAGAAAUUUCCAACAAAGAAUUAAUGUAACUAAUGUAACGUAGUGAUGUAAUAAGGAUCCUCAAAAGGGAAAGUAUUAACGUGAAGGUAAAUAUGAUGAACAACGAUCAAUUAAAAAUAAAUGUGGAAAAUAUAGACAAUUAACUAAAGCUGUUAAUAAGGCCAAAUUGCAAUUGCAUCUUUAUGAAAAUAAAUUGACGAAACCAAUUAAAGUAAUGUAGAAACCUACAUUCAUCAUUUGAGCCACAGGAUAUUAAAUGUGAAUUUAUCCAAAGGGGAUUUAAAUGCGCAGAUGACAUAAUUUUAUAAAAAAUAAAAGAAAAUGAUGUAAAUACUAUUAAAAAGUUGCUCCUUUUUAUGAUGUCCUUCGAUCACACCGAAGACAUAAAUAAAACAUAUAAAAUAGAAUAUCUUCAGUAUAUGAGAGUAAAAGUUAAGUAGAAAUAAUAGAUUCAGCCCGCAACGCAAGAGAUGCCAAAGGUUCGGUCAUACGCAAAGAUUUUUCCAAAGAGGAGAUAAAUGUGUUAAAUGUGCUGGUAAUCAUAAGACGCCAGAAUGUAAUAAGAAAGGUUUUCAGGCUAGGUGCGCAAACUGUAACGAUGUAAGUUUUGCCAGUUACCGAGGCUGUUUAACUGGCUACUAAGGAAUUACAAAAAAGGAUAAUGAAGGAAAAUAACACACACAUUUGCAUUCGGUGCCAUAAAGCGAUUUCAAUGGGAAACAGGAAAAGAGUAUGCAUAAAUUGUGUUGAUUCAAGCGAUGAAUCAAUCGUCCUCAAAUUAAGAUGCGUUGAAAAUUGUUAUCGUAUACAAUAUUUCAUAAUUUCGGAUAUGUUUGUUGACCAUUAAUUAUAUUUUUUACAUUUAAUUUACUUUCCUUUAAUAUUUAAGAUUAGCUCUAUUGUCGACAAUAAAGAACUGCACGUGCUGUCAAAAAUAUGUGUUGACA